UUGGCUCCCUCAUUAUCCUCAACUAGGACUGUCUGUGUGUCUGCAGGAUGCAGGACCUGAAGCAACUGUCUGGUUGGAUCUGUGUCAGGAUUCCUCUGAUGGAAACCAGCUGCAACUCUCUGGAGCUGCACGAGUUCUGCAUCCGUGUCCCCGCACACAGACGACCAUGAUCCAUGAGGUCGAGCAUGCAGCUCAGCCGAGCGACGGAAAUGGCUUUUAAAUGCCUUGAUUACUCC
Molecule: long non-coding RNA, 236 nt
Organism: Centropristis striata (black sea bass)
Lineage: Eukaryota; Metazoa; Chordata; Actinopteri; Perciformes; Serranidae
Exons: 3
Source: RefSeq, a predicted model, not a curated record